RNAcentral lists this long non-coding RNA (279 nucleotides) under Cyanistes caeruleus (blue tit). RNAcentral describes it as "lncRNA (ENSCCEG00000009514.1)". The record is from RNAcentral. Lineage: Eukaryota; Metazoa; Chordata; Aves; Passeriformes; Paridae.
GAUAGAUGUUAUAUCUGCCACAGCAUUCUCAAUUUAGGUUUCAGUCUCCCUCUGGAUAGAAAACAAUUAUGAUCCACUCUGGUUGAGAGCACAAGCAGACAAGGGUGCCAUGAGUCAAUAUUGCAGGAUGGAGCAGGAAACACAGGGAGAGAAUUAUUCACAAGGAGGCUAUUUAAGAUUAUACAUGAUCCCCAGGCCUUAGAGGUAUCAUGGCUGGAUCCAUUUUCUACAUGGAGCAUAACCUACGGCAAAAUGGUACUAGAUACAGGAUCAAACUGA